Molecule: ribosomal RNA, 460 nt
Filed under: uncultured bacterium
Lineage: Bacteria
Description: partial 16S ribosomal RNA
Rfam family: Bacterial small subunit ribosomal RNA
Source: RNAcentral
CCUACGGGUGGCAGCAGUGAGGAAUAUUGGUCAAUGGACGAGAGUCUGAACCAGCCAAGUAGCAUGAAGGAUGACUGCCCUAUGGGUUGUAAACUUCUUUUAUAUGGGAAUAAAACAGGGUAUGCAUACCCUCUUGUAUGUACCAUAUGAAUAAGGAUCGGCUAACUCCGUGCCAGCAGCCGCGGUAAUACGGAGGAUCCGAGCGUUAUCCGGAUUUAUUGGGUUUAAAGGGAGCGUAGGUGGAUUGUUAAGUCAGUUGUGAAAGUUUGCGGCUCAACCGUAAAAUUGCAGUUGAAACUGGCAGUCUUGAGUUCAGUAGAGGUGGGCGGAAUUCGUGGUGUAGCGGUGAAAUGCUUAGAUAUCACGAAGAACUCCGAUUGCGAAGGCAGCUUACUGGACUGCAACUGACACUGAUGCGCGAAAGUGUGGGUAUCAAACAGGAUUAGAUACCCUUGUAGUC